This 253-nucleotide ribosomal RNA is filed under the name uncultured bacterium. Its description in RNAcentral is "partial 16S ribosomal RNA". It matches the Rfam family "Bacterial small subunit ribosomal RNA", at positions 524 to 776 of the family's 1533-position model. The record is from RNAcentral.
UACGUAGGUGGCGAGCGUUGUCCGGAAUUACUGGGUGUAAAGGGCGUGUAGGCGGGUUAUUAAGUCAGAUGUGAAAUUCCAGGGCUCAACUCUGGCGCUGCAUCUGAAACUGGUAAUCUUGAGUGCUGGAGAGGAAAGCGGAAUUCCUAGUGUAGCGGUGAAAUGCGUAGAUAUUAGGAGGAACACCAGUGGCGAAGGCGGCUUUCUGGACAGUAACUGACGCUGAGGCGCGAAAGCGUGGGGAGCAAACAGG